GUCUGUAUGAAGUUACAUAGAGUCUAGCCUGCCCAAUGAAUUUUAUUUAAAAGGCCGCAGUAAUUUGACUGUGCAAAGGUAGCAUAAUAAUUAGUUUUUUAAUUGAAGGCUUGUAUGAAUGGUUGGACAAAGAAAAAUCUGUCUUUUAUACUAUCUUUGAAUUUUACAUUUAAGUGAAAAGGCUUAGAUAAAUUUAAGGGACGAUAAGACCCUAUAAAUCUUUACAUUGAAUUAAAAUUUUUUUAUAAAAACAUAAAAUUUAAUAAUGUUAUGUUGGGGCAACAAAAAUAUAAAAAAUAACUGUUAUAUAAAUUAUACAUUUAUUUAUGAAUAGAUAAAAGAUCCUUUUAAAAGAUUAAAAGUUUAAGUUACUUUAGGGAUAACAGCGUUAUUUUUUUUGAGAGUUCUCAUUAAAAAAAAAGUUUGCGACCUCGAUGUUGAAUUAAAAUUUCUCUGUGGUGCAUAAGUUACAAGAGAGAGUCUGUUCGACUUUUAAAAUUUU
RNAcentral lists this ribosomal RNA (502 nucleotides) under Leiogalathea paris. Its description in RNAcentral is "partial 16S large subunit ribosomal RNA". It matches the Rfam family "Bacterial large subunit ribosomal RNA", at positions 1831 to 2597 of the family's 2925-position model. Lineage: Eukaryota; Metazoa; Arthropoda; Malacostraca; Decapoda; Munidopsidae. The record is from RNAcentral.